This 158-nucleotide ribosomal RNA is filed under the name Calostilbe striispora. Its description in RNAcentral is "5.8S ribosomal RNA". It matches the Rfam family "5.8S ribosomal RNA". Rfam says of the family: 5.8S ribosomal RNA (5.8S rRNA) is a component of the large subunit of the eukaryotic ribosome. The record is from RNAcentral. Lineage: Eukaryota; Fungi; Ascomycota; Sordariomycetes; Hypocreales; Nectriaceae.
AAACCUUCAACAACGGAUCUCUUGGUUCUGGCAUCGAUGAAGAACGCAGCGAAAUGCGAUAAGUAAUGUGAAUUGCAGAAUUACGUGAAUCAUCGAAUCUUUGAACGCACAUUGCGCCCGCCAGUAUUCUGGCGGGCAUGCCUGUUCGAGCGUCAUUU